GAUGAAGAACGCAGCGAAAUGCGAUAAGUAAUGUGAAUUGCAGAAUUCAGUGAAUCAUCGAAUCUUUGAACGCACAUUGCGCCCGCCAGUAUUCUGGCGGGCAUGCCUGUUCGAGCGCCAUUUCAACCAUCAAGCCCCCGGCUUGUGUUGGGGACCUGCGGCUGCCGCAGGCCCUGAAAACCAGUGGCGGGCUCGCUAGUCACUCCGAGCGUAGUAAUACAUCUCGCUCAGGGCGUGCUGCGGGUUCCGGCCGUUAAAAAGCCUUAUUUACCCAAGGUUGACCUCGGAUCAGGUAGGAAGACCCGCUGAACUUAAGCAUAUCAAUAAGCGGAGGA
RNAcentral lists this unclassified non-coding RNA (335 nucleotides) under soil metagenome. Its description in RNAcentral is "partial contains 5.8S ribosomal RNA, internal transcribed spacer 2, and large subunit ribosomal RNA". The stretch from base 1 to 120 matches the Rfam family "5.8S ribosomal RNA", at positions 35 to 154 of the family's 154-position model. The record is from RNAcentral.